This 31-nucleotide non-coding RNA is filed under the name Mus musculus (house mouse). Lineage: Eukaryota; Metazoa; Chordata; Mammalia; Rodentia; Muridae. The record is from RNAcentral.
UACUUCAUUUUCUAAGAAAGUUCAUCCCGUG